This 277-nucleotide long non-coding RNA is filed under the name Gossypium barbadense (sea-island cotton). RNAcentral's name for it is "long non-coding RNA (GBAR_LNC018087)". The record is from RNAcentral. Lineage: Eukaryota; Viridiplantae; Streptophyta; Magnoliopsida; Malvales; Malvaceae.
AGUGUUAGAUCUAUUUUUGUUAGCUUGGCACUGCUUAUGCUUAAUUUAGUGUCUUCAUACAAUUGCUAUAAUUUGGUUAUCAGCCAGAUUUAUAAUUGUUUUCUAUUUUUAUUGAUUUAUGUAAUCAAUCUCAAUUCUGCUUUUUGCAAAUUAAUACUAUUGUUUCUUGUUAAAAAUUGAAUAGUUUAGACAAUCAUUAGAAAGAAUGCCUAUUUGUGACACAUGGAAGAGCUAUGAUUGAGAUUGUUUGUUAGUAUGGUUCAACCUGCUACUAAAG